GGGGGUGUAGCUCACUUGGUAGAGCGCUUGAAUGGCAUUCAAGAGGUAAGGGGUUCGAUCCCCCUCAUCUCCACCA
This 76-nucleotide transfer RNA is filed under the name Clostridiaceae bacterium. RNAcentral describes it as "tRNA-Ala". It matches the Rfam family "tRNA". From Rfam's summary of the family: Transfer RNA (tRNA) molecules are approximately 80 nucleotides in length. Their secondary structure includes four short double-helical elements and three loops (D, anti-codon, and T loops). The record is from RNAcentral. RNAcentral also lists the same sequence under 2 other names. Lineage: Bacteria; Bacillati; Bacillota; Clostridia; Eubacteriales; Clostridiaceae.